AGGAGGAACAGCCCCAGUGGCGGGGCCAGCUCUGGAAACCUGGAUUCAGCCCCUGCAGGAACUAGGGAGCUCUCCGUCUGCAGGGCCUGGAGGCUCCGGGGCAGG
Non-coding RNA from Canis lupus familiaris (dog), 105 nucleotides. The record is from Rfam. NCBI's taxonomy places the organism in Eukaryota, Metazoa, Chordata, Mammalia, Carnivora, Canidae.